UUGCUUUAGGGAUGGAAUGAAUGAUAUCCCCUGAGAUUUAAUUCACCCUAUCACUUUGUCACCAAAUUCCUUAGAAUUUUUUACUAAUUUACAAUUUGCUGAUCAUUAAGGGGUGGAAUAUAU
This is a non-coding RNA of Helianthus annuus (common sunflower), 123 nucleotides long. NCBI's taxonomy places the organism in Eukaryota, Viridiplantae, Streptophyta, Magnoliopsida, Asterales, Asteraceae. The record is from Rfam.